GAAAGAUCUCCCAUGCUCAUGGAUUGGCAGGAUUAAUUUAGUAAAAAUGGCUAUUUUACCAAAAGCAAUCUACAGAUUCAAUGCAAUCCCCAUCAAAAUACCAAUCCAAUUCUUCAAAGAGUUAGACAGAACAAUUUGCAAAUUCAUCUGGAAUAACAAAAAACCCAGGAUAGCUAAAGCUAUCCUCAACAAUAAAAGGACUUCAGGGGGAAUCACUAUCCCUGAACUCAAGCAGUAUUACAGAGCAAUAGUGAUAAAAACUGCAUGGUAUUGGUACAGAGACAGACAGAUAGACCAAUGGAAUAGAAUUGAAGACCCAGAAAUG
Molecule: long non-coding RNA, 325 nt
Filed under: Rattus norvegicus (Norway rat)
Lineage: Eukaryota; Metazoa; Chordata; Mammalia; Rodentia; Muridae
Description: long non-coding RNA NONRATT009001
Source: RNAcentral